Phyllopteryx taeniolatus (common seadragon) is the source of this 1768-nucleotide long non-coding RNA. RefSeq lists it as uncharacterized. The transcript is spliced from 2 exons. The record is from RefSeq and is a predicted model, not a curated record. NCBI's taxonomy places the organism in Eukaryota, Metazoa, Chordata, Actinopteri, Syngnathiformes, Syngnathidae.
UUGAACUAAAACCGACUACAGCACAUCGUGUAAAAUCCUUUGUCGAUGUGAACAUUUUUUGUACCGAGGAUGCUAUCUUUGAUCAAUGUUAACAAUCCAUUUGUCCGUGUGUUCGCAUUUAUCAAAUAUUAUUACAAAUAAAACCUGACGACAGUAAGCUUAUUAUACAUCUGCCUUAAAAUUGCAAUCUGGAUGUUCGUUAAAACACCAAUUGGUAGCAUGUUAGCAUUUUAUCCAGUUUUGUUAGGCUUUCAAAAUAUUGUAAUACCAGACUACAGGGCAAGAUGUAAAAUCCUUAUCAAUCUGCCCAAGUGUACUUGUUGUUAGCAUACAAGUUGUCAGCAUGUUAGCAUCUUGUAAACUCUUUACUGUUCUGCCUCAGCAUUUUUUUUGGUCGUAAUGUUUUGAAUUCCUAUCACUUUAGAUUUUAGUCCUUUAUCCCACACUACACCACUGGGUUGUGCUGUUUGAAUAGCUCGUCUCAGUCCGUGUACUUUGUGCCCAUUCGUUUUUCCUUCUGAAGUAGGGAAACAAAAAACGGGAAUAGACCCUAUUUUUGUUUUUGUUUUGAAGUAUGCACCGUAUUUUCACGACCAUAAGGCGCACUUAAAAGUCCAAGUUUUCUCCAAAAUGGACGGGGCACCUUAUAAUACGGCACGCCUUAUGUGUGCACCGAGUUCCAACAUCUAUAAAUGUUGUUGUGUGAUGAGCGCUCCGCUUGACUUUUUUAUUUAUUUAUUUAUUUUUAGCAUUUCCUGCCGACACGCUGCUUACACAGAGGAAAAGCGGACGUAGCUGAGGACAGGGGAAGGACGCUAAAGCCACGCCCCGAGUAGGAAUAUAGAGCGGGGUGUUUUUUUAAUUAAUUUAUUUAUUUAAAAAUUUUGUACAGUUUUUUUUUAACCGCUUUACUGACUGGGAGCAUUUCCGGGGUGUGCAUUGUGCAAAACAACAUCGGUUUGGCUAAGGACCCCCGAGCAGCCGCGAGAGAAUUCAAGAUCAACGAAUCCAUGGUUUGCAAGUGGAGGAAGCAGGAAAACAAGCUUCGCCAAGUCAAGAAGACGAAGCUGAGUUUUUGCGGGAAAAAAAGAAAAACAAAACGGGGAAACAAGGCGAGGUGGCCAGAGUUGGAUGACCAACUCGAGCAAUGGAUUAAUGAGCAAAGAAUAACUCGAGGCUUGCCAUCAUUCCGGGAGGCUUGACGAACCGCUGGACAUCCGUGUAAACAGUGCCUUGAAAGUGAAGUUGCGAGCGGCGUGGAAGCGAUGGAUGACAAAUGUCGAACACAGCUUUACUAAGACUAGGAGGCAGCGCCGGGUGAGUUGCGCCACCAUAAACUUGGAUUGUGGGUGCUGGGUUAACGUGUCUGCUUGCACUGUUGUUCGAGCUUUCGCACGGCAACGAGACUGACUCAGACCUGGCGUGUUUGAUUGAGAACUUGCCCAGCUGUUCAUUUUGGAUACAGACGAUGAGGACUUUGAUGGAUUUGCGGAUGAGGAUUGAUCAAAAAAUAACAUCAUCGCCUGCCACCAUGGGGGACCUAGGUUCAAGACCCCGACUGGACGAUCCGCCAACAUCCCCUGGACUCAUGACUGUGGUGUCCUUGAGCAAGACACUGAUACCCCGAAAUGCUCCCCGGGCGCUUCAGCUGCCCCUUGCUCCAGUGUGUUCCACUAACAUGUGUUCACUGUGAUGGGUUAAAUGCAGAGAACAAAUUUCGUGUACAUGCAUGCAUGUUCAUGACAAUAAAAGAUGAUUCUAAUUCUAA